AGGAGAUGAAAGCGAAUCAUCCUCACUUAUUUGAGGAUUGAGCUGAGGUAUGAAUUUAGAGUUUAAAUUCUGGAUAAAUUUAGUAUUGUCGAGUUCGUUUUGAGGACGAAACUUUAUUAAGGCGGGGAAGAUGUAAGGGAAGUGAAUUCUCGAAAUCCGAGGAUUGGACUACGUUUAAAAUCGACUAACUGUCGAGUUGGUGUGCUUCGGAAAGU
RNAcentral lists this long non-coding RNA (215 nucleotides) under Ananas comosus (pineapple). RNAcentral's name for it is "long non-coding RNA (ACOM_LNC043952)". Lineage: Eukaryota; Viridiplantae; Streptophyta; Magnoliopsida; Poales; Bromeliaceae. The record is from RNAcentral.